RNAcentral lists this ribosomal RNA (253 nucleotides) under uncultured bacterium. Its description in RNAcentral is "partial 16S ribosomal RNA". It matches the Rfam family "Bacterial small subunit ribosomal RNA", at positions 524 to 776 of the family's 1533-position model. The record is from RNAcentral.
UACGUAGGGUGCAAGCGUUGUCCGGAAUUAUUGGGCGUAAAGAGCUCGUAGGCGGUCUGUCACGUCGGCUGUGAAAUCCCGAGGCUCAACCUCGGGUCUGCAGUCGAUACGGGCAAACUAGAGUAUUGCAGGGGAGACUGGAAUUCCUGGUGUAGCGGUGAAAUGCGCAGAUACAGGAGGAACACCGGUGGCGAAGGCGGGUCUCUGGGCCGAUACUGACGCUGAGGAGCGAAAGCGUGGGGGAGCGAACAGG